GUGUCUCGAGAUGCACUCCAACCCCUGUGACAUACCACUUGUUGCCUCGGCGGAUCAGCCCGCUCCCGGUAAAACGGGACGGCCCGCCAGAGGACCCCUAAACUCUGUUUCUAUAUGUAACUUCUGAGUAAAACCAUAAAUAAAUCAAAACUUUCAACAACGGAUCUCUUGGUUCUGGCAUCGAUGAAGAACGCAGCAAAAUGCGAUAAGUAAUGUGAAUUGCAGAAUUCAGUGAAUCAUCGAAUCUUUGAACGCACAUUGCGCCCGCCAGUAUUCUGGCGGGCAUGCCUGUUCGAGCGUCAUUUCAACCCUCAAGCACAGCUUGGUGUUGGGACUCGCGUUAAUUCGCGUUCCUCAAAUUGAUUGGCGGUCACGUCGAGCUUCCAUAGCGUAGUAGUAAAACCCUCGUUACUGGUAAUCGUCGCGGCCACGCCGUUAAACCCCAACUUCUGAAUGUUGACCUCGGAUCAGGUAGGAAUACCCGCUGAACUUAAGCAUAUCAAGCCGGGGGGAGGAAG
RNAcentral lists this ribosomal RNA (518 nucleotides) under Fusarium oxysporum. RNAcentral's name for it is "eukaryotic LSU rRNA". The stretch from base 149 to 302 matches the Rfam family "5.8S ribosomal RNA". The record is from RNAcentral. Lineage: Eukaryota; Fungi; Ascomycota; Sordariomycetes; Hypocreales; Nectriaceae.